CGUAACAAGGUCUCCGUUGGUGAACCAGCGGAGGGAUCAUUACUGAGUUACCGCUCUAUAACCCUUUGUGAACAUACCUAACUGUUGCUUCGGCGGGCAGGGGGUGCCGCCUGCGGACCCCCCUCCCGGCCCUGCCCUCACGGGCGGAGCGCCCGCCGGAGGAUACCAAACUCUAUUUUAACGACGUUUCUUCUGAGUGGCACAAGCAAAUAAUUAAAACUUUCAACAACGGAUCUCUUGGUUCUGGCAUCGAUGAAGAACGCAGCGAAAUGCGAUAAGUAAUGUGAAUUGCAGAAUUCAGUGAAUCAUCGAAUCUUUGAACGCACAUUGCGCCCGCCAGCAUUCUGGCGGGCAUGCCUGUUCGAGCGUCAUUUCAACCCUCAAGCUCUGCUUGGUGUUGGGGCCCUACGGUUGACGUAGGCCCUUAAAGGUAGUGGCGGACCCUCUCGGAGCCUCCUUUGCGUAGUAACUAACGUCUCGCACUGGGAUUCGGAGGGACUCUUGCCGUAAAACCCCCAAAUUUUUAAAGGUUGACCUCGGAUCAGGUAGGAAUACCCGCUGAACUUAAGCAUAUCA
This 576-nucleotide ribosomal RNA is filed under the name Colletotrichum coccodes. Its description in RNAcentral is "eukaryotic LSU rRNA". The stretch from base 218 to 371 matches the Rfam family "5.8S ribosomal RNA". The record is from RNAcentral. Lineage: Eukaryota; Fungi; Ascomycota; Sordariomycetes; Glomerellales; Glomerellaceae.